RNAcentral lists this ribosomal RNA (2848 nucleotides) under Triticum aestivum (bread wheat). RNAcentral describes it as "partial small subunit ribosomal RNA". The record is from RNAcentral. Lineage: Eukaryota; Viridiplantae; Streptophyta; Magnoliopsida; Poales; Poaceae.
AUGGAGAAUCUUGCUCCUGAAAGCCAGAGCGACAAGGGUGAUGUUAUCUACGAUUCAGACUUGAUCAUGUCGCUCGAGCGCAAGGCCGUGGAUUGGCAUUGCAAGCAGCUGUCCAUUGGGGGUGCCUGGAGGGCUGUGACAUGGACUCGGACAGUUUCGUCCAACUGUUGGCGCCAGACAUGUGCUGCCAAUGUCGCUGACAUCUUGGUUGUCGACGGAUCAGCACAUUCAUCUUUGUUGCCCGGGUUAAAGGGCGAAAAGUUGACAUUCAGGGACCUCUACUCAGCUUUCCCCAUCCUGAGCCCGGAUGGUGACGAUAUUCUUUAUCUCAAAUCAAUGGUGGAACCCAGUAAUAAGGAUGGAUGGGCGGUCGCUGUUGACUUAGGAAACAAGGCAGUGAAAGCAAUUGGCAAGUAUUGUCUUCCGGAUGAUUUUUAUUAUAGCUUCCGUCAUGACCCUGAACAUCCUUUCCGUGUCUGUACAUUGUCCCUGGUAAUUGUCUCCAGGCAUAGAAGUCUCAGCGUGUCGCAAGAUCACAGGGGAUGCUAGCAGCUCUUCAAAUUAUCCAAGCAACACCUCAUUCCGUGCGGGUGAGCUCAAUUCCUGCGAACCAAGGAGCAAAAUCCAAAGGUCAUUGGAAUGGGCUUGGAAAAACAAGCGUGCACGAAAUGCUGCUGGGACUUUUAUGCAGAAUGAUCAUAUUUCCCAGCAGCUUGACGAUAAGGUGCUGGAGCUAGAGCAGGAGAUAGAGCAGGAGCUAGAGCGGGGGUGGAAACAGAAGAGAGAGCAGAAGCCACAACAGCAGUGCUUCAACAAGUGGGAUGCGCCGUGCUACCCCCCUGGACAUUCAGUGUGGCCCCAUCAAAACAAUCUGUCACCGAGGAAAUACUUCAACAAGCCAGACGGACCAUGUGUCCUUGGGUAUGCAUCUUUGCCCCCUGUACAGCUGGGUCGUCACAACUACCAACCUCUGUGGCGCAGCCACCACCAUCAAAACAGCAGUUGACUUCUAGCAGUGAGUUUGGACCUCAUGAGGUAAAGACAUUGGUGAAGCUUAUGAUAUUCUGAUAUCUCCUCUAUUGGCAUGUAGCUCUGGAACAGACCAUCUUCACUUGUUAAAAAUUACUCGCAAGAUACAUAUUCUAAGUAGUACUCCCUCCGGUCCUUCUUACUCCGUGUAUUAGAUUUGUAUCAAGUCAAACUUUGCAAAGAUUGACGAAAUUUAUAUUAAAAAAUAUCAACAUAUACAAUACCAAAUAUAUUAUUAUAUGAAACUACAUUCCAUAAUGAAUCUAAUGAUAUUGAUUUCAUUCUAUGAAUGUUGAUACUUUUUUCUAUAAGUUUGGUCAAAUUAGAGAUACUUUGACUUUCAGCUGAACUUAUUUGCAGACUAGAAAUGACCGGAGGGAGUAAUUCUCUCACAUGUGCUGUCAUGCCGAUGGACCCAACUUGACAUGUUCCGUGCAUUUUUUAAUUAUUUGUUUUGAAAGUAAAAGAGGGAAACAAACUAUGGGCACCAAGUUUAAAAAUAUGUAAUCAGUAAGUCUAAAAGCAACUGCAUUAUUAUAGUAAAUUCAUUAUUUGAGUUCAUUGGAAUAUAAUAAGCAACAAAGAUGAAAUUAUCUAUUUCUGCUGUGAUGUGCUACUUUUGACGUGUUGCCUAGGUGUCUGUUUUUUCAUCAUCUUACUACUAUAAGUUGUUAAGAUUUCAGGCACCCCAGCCAUGCUUCAACAAUUGCAGUGGAGCCAGCUACCAUGGGUAUUAACAACAAUUUUCUGCCCCUAACUCAUUUGCCUAUGGCGCACACACCUGCUAUGCCAGCUACCAACACCAGUGGCUGCAACUCUUACUUUGGAGCUGCCUAUUGGUGCGUUUUGGCAGCAUUCACCUCCUGUGGUGCAGCGUCAGCCAACACCUAGUGAGAUAAAAAAAAAAGCACUGAAAAAACCUAUGUUUGCUGACAUGUUCCUCUUUUAGACAGUAGACAUGGAGUGAAUCUCUCAUUAAGAUUACUUUUUCAAGAUGAUCAUUCUUGCAAGUAAUUCUGGGCUUGUUGCAUAUGCAAAACCCUUGUGUGUUUCAAACUGAAAUUUAAAGAGGGUUACAUAGUGUCAAGACUCAAGACUAUGUAAGGUAAUAUCCUCUCAUAGUUUGACAUUGUUUCUUGAAACAUAAACGUAACCAUUUUGCUGAAAUGUGAGCACGUAAGGAAAGGUGCUAACUUUUCAAAAAAGAGGAGGAAUCCCAUCGAAAGGAGCGAAUGCUGGAGAAAUGUGUGGUAAGGUUGAUGGGGAGCCUGGAGUGGCCAAAUGAAGUGUAGAUGCUGAACUAAGGAAACUAGUCAACAUUUAAUAUCCUCUUUCAGUUGAUUGUGCUGAAAAAUAUAUAAUAAAAAUAUGGUUAAUCCUAGUAACUCGAAACAUGUGCAUUAUUUGUUACCAUAGAAAAGUUUCGGGAGUUGUGGUUUUAGAGAAGAGGUGACAUGUGGCAUUCUCUUGCGGAACAUUUUUGUUGUUGACUAAUUAGUUGAUUUUGCCGUGCAGUGAUAUUACUGGCUAGAUUUGACUGGAUCAAUGGCUAUGCUCAGGUGAGAGUAUGGUGUAAAUGUUUAAGCUUUCUGUGUGUGUACUAUCGGGAAUUUGUUUCUACCUGAACAGUCAUCUUCUGAUAGAUACGCAUCAGAUAAACAUGUCUUGUGUUAUAGUCUCACAAUAUUUCUUGAAUAGAAGUGGAAUAAUUGACUGAAAAAUAUUUUCACAUGCAUGGUAGAAUGUUGUGGUGGGUCUUUUCCCAUACAUGAUUGUAUGUUGAGGUGGGCUUUAUCCCAUUCAUAAUUGUAUGAUGAGG